AAACCACUUGUCAUAAGACGUAGUUCUAGGGUACCAAAACCUAGACAAAUGUUAGAUUUGUAAAGAUAGGUAAGCUGUAAGAUUAGUGGGGAGGAGUGUGGUGUAGUGUACACGUCUAGGGCGGACAGUAGACACUCCUCUCCCGGUUGACCGUACGAAGCCAAGGUUAAUAGAUUAGGGCGAUUAACCCCUAUCUAUGAACCUUGGUACGAAGCGUUAAUAACCCAAGGUUCAUAGAUAGGGGUUAGGUUAUCUCAUAACUAUGUGGGCGGAAGCGAGAGGGAGGGGAAUGCCUACGUCACUCGUACGACAAAGUCAAGUUUGACAGUUGUAUGUGGUUAUAUUUCCGCAUAUUUUUGUGGAAUUUUCUUAUAAUAUCGUUUAUUUGUUUAAUAUUUGUUGAGUUUUUAAACAUAUAAGGACUAUAUUACUAUAAUUACUUAUUUGGGUCCUAUACAAAGGCAGUAAUGACUUGUGAAGUGUGUUUUCGUAACCGUGUAAGAUGAGUGGUGGUAACAUUUGUAGCAUAGCUAUAUGUAAAAGCAACUCCAAAAUUCCUGAACCAGAUGGAAACAAAAUAAUGUUUUUGGACAUUUCCCAAAUACCUUAAAUUAUCAAACAAUAAUGGAUAAUAAAAUGUUACAAGAUAAAUGGGCCUCUAAACAUAAGAAAAUAGGUAGCAAACAUUUCCUCGUGUCUGAAUAUGUUAAUAUUAUGUUACGUCUUUUUUAUAUUUUAACCUAAUAAUAAAUUAUUUAUAUUA
This is a long non-coding RNA of Diabrotica virgifera virgifera (western corn rootworm), 763 nucleotides long. RefSeq lists it as uncharacterized. The transcript is spliced from 2 exons. NCBI's taxonomy places the organism in Eukaryota, Metazoa, Arthropoda, Insecta, Coleoptera, Chrysomelidae. The record is from RefSeq and is a predicted model, not a curated record.